This 20451-nucleotide long non-coding RNA is filed under the name Chlamydomonas reinhardtii. RNAcentral describes it as "long non-coding RNA (CREI_LNC000559)". The record is from RNAcentral. Lineage: Eukaryota; Viridiplantae; Chlorophyta; Chlorophyceae; Chlamydomonadales; Chlamydomonadaceae.
CCGCCCCGCCCGCCUCCCAAAUCCCAACCCUCCUCACUCUCACCCCCACCGCGUUCCCCGCCCUUGCAGCGUCAUGGAGGCCAUGGGCGGCAGCCCCACGCCGCAGGAGCUGGACGCGGUCAUGUUUGAGCUGGACAGCAACGGCGACGCGGUGGUGGACUUUCCGGAGUUCCUCACCAAGUUCUUCACCGCCAUGGACGAGGAGGAGCUGCUGCGCGUGUUCAAGCAGCUCUUCGUGCUGGAGGUGGGGGCGGUGUGUCAGAUGGGUUGGGGCUGGGGGUGGGGCUGGGGGGUGCGUUGGCGUGCUCCAGAGCCCAAUGAGCAGGGAGUGGGUGGUGGUGGUAGUGGCGGCGGCGGUGGUGGAUGUGGGUUUGCUGGUGUUGCGAGGGCGAAAAGAGGGAGGGCAUGCUGCGGCGAUGGGGUCCUUGCGGAUUUUCCAUGAGGCGAGGCGGGGCGGGGCGAGGGUGUCCUAACCGCUGUGCCGCCUGUUGUGUUGUGCCGCCCGUGAGCGCAGGACAGCGACAACAACGAGCGCGCGCUGACGCUGUCGGCCAUUGAGCGCAGCUUCCAGGUGCGGCUGGCGGACUGAGCGGAGCAGGGCGCUUGGAGCGGAGUGGUGGUGCGCGCGAGGCCUAUGGGCACUGGAUAAGCAACGGCAUGCACAGCCGCGACGCAAGAAGCGCUCACAGCGGCGGGAAGGGGCCUUGUCGGACAGGUUAGGCAGCCCGGCAUGCUGUUAGGGCUGCGGCCGGGGCCGCAGUCAUCGGCGGUAAAACAAAGUGGCUCAGUACCUGUGGCUGCUCGAUGUGUCGAUGCGUCGGUGUGUUAGUGUAUCAUGUUGUUUGCCGCCGUCCCUCCCUGCCGUGUAGUAUGUGGGCGAGCCGCUGUCGGACGAGGACAAGGCCUACCUCAAGGUGCGGCCUGUGCGGUGAUGGCUAGACGGGAAGCAGCGGGCUGGGUAUAAGUAGUCGAGCACGGGUAGCAGGGAACGGGAGGACGGCGAAUAUCAAUAAAAAGAUACUAAGCAGCUACCGAUGGCGAAUAUCAAUAAAAAGAUACUAAGCGUGAGCAGCAGGCAGCGGGGGCGGGGCGGGUGGGUCUCUGCAAGCCGGUCAGGUGGUUGCUGUCCCGUACAGCCCCCGCCAAACGUACCGUAAUGGCGCGUGGCCUGCCUGCGCCAUCUCCUCGCACACCGGCGCAGAUUAUCUUUGAGGGCGCCGACCGCGACGGCAACGGCCGCCUGGACAUCAAGGAGUUCACAGCCUACCUCGAAAAGCUGGACGACGAGAUUUUCACGGGUCUCAACGCAGCCAACCAGCAGGCCGCGGCGGCGGCACAGGCAGCUGCAGCCGCAGCCCAGGCCGUGAAUGCCCAGGCCACCAUGCUCGGCGCCGGCAGCGGCGCGCUGGCGGGCUUCGGCAGCGGGCCGGUCAGCGGCGGCGGCGGACUGGGGUCGGGGCUGGCGGGCGCGGGCAGUGGCGUGUCGGGGCAGCUGACAGCCAUCAUGAAUGCGGCGGCGUCGGCGAACGCGUCGGUUGACGGCGCCAACGGUGCGGGGGCGUCCGGCAGGAACGGCAAGCAGCGCAGCGGGCGGGGGCUGUGGCGCUCCGCGGCGGCGGGCUUGGGCCUGGCCGUCGGUGGUGGAGGUGGCGGGGGCGCGGAGGGCGCCGGCGCUGGCCCGGAGCGGACGCGGUCGGAGGGCUGCGGCACGGAGGGGCAGGAGGGUGCCGGUGGCGCGGUGGUGGUGCUGGCGGGGGCGGAGGGCGCUGCUGCCGCUGCGGGGGCCACGGAGGAGGGCGACCUCAGCGGGCCGCCCAGCCAGAGCGGCAGCCUGCGCUCCGCGUUCAUGUCCAAGUUCGGGCUGGGCGCGCCAGGCAGCAAGCAGCGCCGGGCUAGCGCCAGCAGCGGCAACCUGGCGGCGAUGGCGGGGCCUGCCACCGGCGACGGUGGCGCCGGGACCCCCGUGAUGCUGGGCGCCGGGGGCGGGUCGAUAGGGAGCACCGCCGGGCGUGUGAUUGGGGGCUUGCUCGGCGGCAGUAGCCGUUGGCGGCCGGGCAGUAGCGGCAGCGGGAAGGUGCAGGUGUCGCCGCUACGGGGAGGCCGCGCCAGCAGCGGUGGCCUGGCCGGGGCAGCGGGGGCAGGAGGCGGCGGCGGCUUUGCCAGCAGCGUGUCUGCCAGCAGCGCCAGUGGCCAGGUGCUGGCGGUGCCGCCUGGGCUCCAUGCUACGGGCAGUGCCAGCGGCAGCGGGCAGGGCACGCCGGGGCAUGGCACUUCCAAUGACGGCACGGGCGCCGCCGUUGCGUCGGCACGGCUGUCUGCUGCCGCCAUGAUCGCUGCCGCUGCGGCGGCGGCAGCCGCCGCGAGCGCUGCACCGGCACGGGCCGGCGGCGGCGGAAGCAACGACGGCACGGGCACGGCUGGUGCGGGCGGGCUUGCGUUCAGCAGUCGUGAGGGCAGCCUCAUAGCGGCGCAGAGCAGGCAGAGCGCCUUUCUCGCGGCUCCGCCGCUGGUGGCGGCGCUGGGCGUUGGUUCGGCUGCAUCCUAUGCCAGCCCUGUGCCGUCGCCAUCGCGACCGGGCUCGGCGGCGGCGCUGGCAGGCAUGCUACUGGCUGGGUCUGAAGACGCGCCGCCGCAGCAGCUGUCGUCUCAGGUGUCGCCAUUGGGGUCCCUAACCGGCAUACCGCAGUUUGGCAGCGACCCGCAGCAGCAGCCGCAGCAGGGCCCGCAGCAGGGCCCGCAACAGCAGUGGACGGGCAUGCUUGGCCGCCUGGGCUUUGGGCAGGGUACGUCGUCGCGGCUCCGGACGGCCAUGGACGCGCGGCGCCAGGCCAGCGUCAUCCAGGAGGCGCCGGAGGAGCUGGAGGCGGACUCGGGGCACCCCGCCCUCGGCUCGGUGUCGGGGCCGGGAGCAGCAGCUGUUUCGGCGGCGGCGGCUGCCGCCACCGCGGCCGCGGCGGCAGCAGGCGCAGCGGCGCAAGGGGCCCCGCAGCGGCAGGCCACGAGCGGGAUAUCCACGGAGACGGAGGAGCGUGUGUCGGGCAGCGGCGCGCCGCCUCGCUCUUCCGAUCCCACCCACGGCAAGACCGUCAGCGCGGGCGGGGCAUCUGCAUGGCAGCCGUCUACUGUGCCUGCUGGGGGCGGGGGCACGGGCUACACACGCGUCGGCUCGCUCCCCGACCGCAUGGCUUCAGCGGGGGCUGCGGCUGCAGCUGCUCUUCGUGGGGCCGGUGGGGGCAGCCGUCACGCGAGCACAGGCAGCGGCGGGGCCACCGGGACCGCUGCCAGCGGGCGCAGCACGAGCUUCCUGCCGUUCCGGAGUGGGUCAGGUGGCGAGGCGAGGCGGGGCGGCUCGCGCUUUAGUGGCCUGAUGGCAGCUGUGUUUGGGCGGCAGCGCAGCCUUGGGCACGGGUCGGGAGGGGGCAGCUCGCCCACACCGGCCGGCUCGGGCUCGGCGGCGCAGUCGGCCUCUGCAUCGGCCGUGCCCAGCCCGGUGCGGCCACGUACCGUCGGCAUCUUGCCAGAAAGCCAGGCAGUGGUGACGGCUGCAGCGGGAAGCAGGGCCGCGAGCAUUGGCGGGGCGUCGGCAACGGCGGUUCUUAUUACGGCAGCAGCGGCAGCGGUGGCAGGCGGUAGCAGCGCAGGCGCCGGAGCGUCAGCGGCGGCGUACGUGCCGCACCCACCGCCAUCACGCACCAGCACCGCCAUAGCGCGGGCUCCCGGGGGUGUUCUCGGCAGGAGCGCAUCUGGGAGCGGCUCGCCGGCACCUGCGCCGUCGCAAGCACAGCUGCCUGCGCCGUCAUCGCCGCGGGCUGCUGCGGCCACCGGUGGCGCUGGAGGUGGUGCGGGCGUGCAGCUGCCUCCGCCGCCCCCAGCGGCACGGCCGACGGUGUUGUCUCGAAGCGCGUCUGGCGCGGGUGGCGGCGGCAGGGCCGUAGCGGAGGCGGCAGAGGGGUCUGCCCCCGCCACGUGGAGCUCAGCCGCCAAUGCGUGGUCCGCACUGGGCUGGCUCCGGCCUGGCAGCGGGAGCGCCACCACUAGCAGCAGCAGCAACGGCGGCAGCGGUGCAGGCAGUGCAGGGGGCAGCAUCAAAGCGUCGGUGGCGGCGGUUUCGGCGCCUGCAGCGGCCUGGGUGGUGCCCGCGGUGUCCAGCCCGCGCGCUGAGCCGCCGCCGGCGUACCCGCCGCGCCUGCAUUUGCAUGCGGUAGCGCCUGAGUCAGUGCAGCCCUCAGGGGGGUCGCAACACCCGCCGCCGCUGUUACGGGCAUGGUCAGCAGGCGGCGCCGGCCAGGUGCUGGGCAUUCCGCCACCGCCGCCGCCGCCAUCGUUACUCCGGGCGCCUGCGGACCAGUGCAGGUCCGGGCCGCCCAAGGCUGCACUAAUGCGCUGCAGCAGUGCGGGUCCCGGCUCCGGCGUCUGCUGCAGCGGCAGUAGCUCACACGGCGGAAAUGCCCACCGUGGGAUUGGGCCCAGUCGCUUCGCUGGAGUAGACGCUGGCGCUGGGGCUGGGGCUGGGACUGGGGCCAGGGUCGGCGCAGCCGUCGCACCAGCGGCAGGGAGGCUGGGACCCGGAGCGGCGGCUACAGAUAUAGAAGUGUUGCCGCACUAGACACGCAGCCAGAUGCAGCAAAUUCCGGGCUACAGGAACGGAGGUUUUACAAGGUGACAACCAGUCUGAAAGGAACCGUGGGGAACCGUGGGGAACCGUGGGGAACCGUGAGGCAGUCCGAGCGCGGCACCAGGCUCGCGCGAACAACCGGCGUCAGGGCCGGCUGUUUAUUUGCCGGCUCGAGUUCCACAGCUACUUUUGGCAUGUCCAGCGCAACAUGUGUAGCUGCGACGUGGCCCGCGAAAUCGUCCAUGCUAGGCAUUUUGACGGGGCCUUCGCAGACCGUAGAGCUUUUAACAUUCUAGCGCGGGGACUGAGCAAGGAAUACGACGUCGGUCAUACCGGCUUGCAUGGAGCCCGAUUGCCGCCCGAUUCCAUAUACGGCUUAAACAUCACAACUCCUGGGCGCGGAUGGCAAGUCCAUCGCCGCCGCCAACCUGUGCCGAGAGAGUGCGUGCGUCCUGCAUUGUCCCACAGGCGUUGCCCGUGCGGAAAAGGCCGGUAUGUUCAUCUGGGCACCCGUCUGGCCCAAGCUGCACGAGUGGGUCAAGGCCCACCCCUCCAGCACGGUGGACUGGACCGCGGCCGAAAAGCACCUGCGGCGGGAGUUCCCGGACAUCCCCGUCAGUGCCUUCGAGCACGGCGGUGCCGGCAGGACCAAGUAUUCUAAGUGGAAGAGGCUGUACGACCCGUAGGCUAGAGCCAGCAGCCCCUCCUGGAUGGUGUCCAGCAGGCCCUGGGGGGGGCGUGUGUGUGUGUGGGGGGGGGCGUGUGUGUGUGGGGGGGGGGGGGGGGCGUGUGUGGGGGGGGCGUGUAUCAUUGGGCUACAGCCAGCUGCUGGUCCCGCCGCCGCCGCCGCCGCUGCCGCGGGCAGACAAGCCUGUAAUCCCUGAGCUGACGAAGGGCGUGAGCCAGUGGCUAUAAACGACACGGCGCACGGUGCAACGGUGGUGAUUGCCGUGGCCGCAAUCUCUCCGGGCAGCCAGAGUGGCUCCACUCCUAUGCAUGCUGGCAGCGAAGCGCUGCAGCACCAGAGUGCGCCGGGGGGGUGCGUCUGCCGCUUGAUUGAAGCGACGACGGGCGCAGUGCCAAGCGCGGCCGCGACAGUGCGCGAGAUGAGCAACAGCAACAGCAGUAGCAGAAGUAGCAGCGCGAUCAGUAAAUGCAAGCAGGGAGUAGACAGAACUGCAGAGGCCAGCAAAAUGCAUGCUAGGACGCAUGCGCCCGGCGCGACUUGGCAGCAGUUUUGCCGAAGGGCAACGCUGUACUGAAGUGCUUGGCGGUGGGCGAGGGGGUCGGUAGGAUGAUUUUGCUGAGCUAGGCACGCACCAUCAGGGGUAGUGAUGAACUUGUCUGCAAAGGCGCUGUAUUGAGGCUGUUGCACAUUGGCCGCGUCAAAUAUCUUGGAGGCGCAGGGGUUGCUGAUGUCGAAAAAGAUGACGCUGGGGCGGGCAAGGUAGGAGGCGGGCAGUGGUAGGAGAUAGUCAACCUUUCACAGCUAGGGUGUUUCAAUCGAAUUCUUGACUCGCCUGACUCGCCUUCGUGACGAAGUGGACGAAAGGAUGCGGAUGUUACAGAGGGGACAGUCCCAGCUCCCGAAGACGCCGAGCCAUCACAUGCUAUCAGGGCCCAACCCCGACUUUGCUGCAAACCCUCCCGCGGGCAAAGUCCGUGUGACUCCGCGCACAGUGAGUCCUAGCCAAGCCUCAACCCGCCAGAGCCCCACCGCUGUGCCUCAACGCCACAAGCCUAGGCACAGGAGUGCCGGGAAACGUCUAGGCCGCAGGACACACGCACAGCGCACGCACUAACCAGGGCGCAAGCGUCCAGGUACUAGAACGGUCGCCCACACGUGCAUCCUGCCCACACACAGAGCCACCAACCACGCACAACCUCUCACGGCGAGGGGGGCGGGGAAUCAGCGUCAUACGGCAAGCGCAAAACCAUGCCGUCACCAACAGCCCGAGAUAUGAAGGGAUGCGCAAACGGCACAGCGUCCCAACCCUUUGGCCUGAUACCCAAAGUCACAAACGUCUGGAGACGACCCCAGAAGUCAGCUACGACGGCAAGUCCAAUGCUCAGCACCCGGGCCGACGGCAGCUUCGCUCGCGCCGCCAACCCGGCCAUAACCACACGCUGCCGACCAAAGUCCAGGGCAGACAUAGCAGCGAGACACACCACAUCCCACACAGGUGGCGCAAGCCCCGCAGGCGGGCGCACUAACCACAACUCCUCACGAGAGAAGGCACUUAGAGCCUCCUCCGGUAGGAGCCCCAUAGCCAUCCCCAUACUUUCCCGCAGUGACAGCGCAACAGUGCAGUCCCAAAACCAGUGACGCCGGUCCCCAUCCUGCAUGUCCACCCCACACGCCCAACACGGGUCAACAGUAACGCCUCGCGCCCGCUCGCUAGCAUGCCGUGGAAACGCCCAGCAAGCGUUGGCGGCCACACGCCACAGUGCUUCCUUAUGAUGAUUCUCCCAUUUCAGCGACCACAAGCGGGCCAAGGUGCACACGAAGGCCCCCGCCGCCAGGGCAGCCCCCACCCCCGACACACCCGCAUCGCACACAUACUGCAAAUGCUUAGCCUUCAGGGCGGCUAACUGUGGAGCCAUUUGUAGCACGGACGAAAGCACCCAGAACCGACCAAGUGGGAAAUAAGCUUUGCCGCUUACGGGUCCUUCCCAACUGUAGUCGCCUCCUGCCCGACGGGUUUCCAGAUCGGCAAGGUAAGCGGCGCUGCGGCGCCGCCAGGCCCUGUGCGUGUUACUGCAAGAUGGUUAGAUGGUCAAGAGGUGUGCCGCCCACGGCCCCACGCAACUUUGUUUGCGUGUGAGCCACCCCGCGUGUGAGCCUCAUGGCGACAUGAGUUACACGAAACUUUCUGUGUGCCCACGCGGGGCCACCUCUCAUGCUCAGCAAUAUAACGUUGAGUCCCAUAUCACUUGACUCCCUUAGGGGCACGCCCCAUGGAUCGCAUGGUGGUCCGCUAGUGUAUCGUAUGUACCUGCCCCGCCUGCGAAACUUGAUGUGUUCCUGUACAAGUUGGCUUGCCCCUUUCCCCGAAGGGCCAGUAGCCCUUGCGAUCGCAUUUAGCAUUCGCAUGGCGGCGCGAAGUUCAUGAUACAAAUAAUUGCAAAACGUUUUGGGGGUGGACCCUGUCUUGCUGUAACAUGCCCCUUUCGCACAGCGGGCGGGUGCGCGUAUUACUAACCUAGUAUGCUAAUUAGUAUUCUGAAAUCAAUAACCGUGACAGAGCAGAACGAUUGCAAAACUUCGCAGCUUGGAAGUGAGUGGCUUUGCUACGUGGCCACUGCCUUACCCAGCCGAGUGCCACCUCUUCGCCUCGCCGCCCCCGAAUGUGCCUCCCACCGUGCCCCCGAACACCCAAUCCCAUUUCGCCAUUCCCCUCCUCCACCCCUCUGCUCGCACCUGCUUCUCCUGUGCUAGCAGUGCGGGCAGGUUAGGCAGGUCAUUGCGUUGUGCGAUGCGGAAUUUCAGGGCAAGGCAAGGGCGCACCGGCGCAGGGGCAAGCCGGGGUAGGUACUGCGUAGCUGCGGGGUUUCUGUGUCUGCCGCCCGCGAAACUUCCUGUGUGCCUGUGCGGCUGUGCCUGCCACCUUGUGCACAGAAACCUUGCCGUUGGCUUCAGCCACCGCCUGUCUGCACCUUUAGGCUGGACCUGCGCCGCCCCACUUUCUGUGUCUGCCGCCCACGCCACUUUGUGUGCCUAUGUCAGUGUGUCUGCCGCCCACGCAACUUUAUGUCAGCUUUUUAUGUCUGCCACCAACGAAACCUUACACCUGGCCACGCAAAACUUCCUGUGCAUCAUUUCAGUGCCUGCCAUCCACAAGACUUCCCCUGCAGCCAACUGACUUCCUCCCUUCCGCCAAGCUGCUUAACUCCUUCAACGCUUACGGCGCCACGCCUUCAAGUAGCAGGGGUAGCAGAGGCCCUGAACAUACUUGCGGCAGUUGCGGAUGCCACAGUGCCGGCACUCGCCGUUGGGCCCACGCUGCUUCAGCCCUUUCGCAACGAGAGCGCGGUUGGCCGCCUUCCGCGCCGCCGCCGAGCGCUUGGAGCAGCCGACCGGGCCCAGUGUGGCGGCCGCCGCCGCCGAGCGCUCUGAGCAGCCGACUGGGCCCAGUGUGGCGGCCAUCCCGGCACCAAAGCCCUCGCCCGGGUACCGUGUGGCGGCCGCCGCCGCCGAGCGCUCCGAUGGGUGACACCAACCCGAAGUGUCAUGUGCCUGAACCGCCCACAAAGCUUUUUAUGUCUGCCACCCACGUGCCUGCCACCCCGCCCACGCACCUUUUACAUGGCCUUCACAUGUCGGCCGUUAGCAUGCAGAGUGGCGUGGGUGGCAGACACACAGAAAGCAGUGGGGGCAGGCAAGGUCACGUGGAGGAGAACGCGGCGCCGCCCGAGAACCGGCGCCAGCCGGCGCCAGAGCGCAGGUCGAGGCCCGAGGGAUGACAUGCCCCCUCCAUCCGGCACUUUCUGUGCCUAUGCCUGCCCUGUUUGACCGAGCGGACAUCUGAUGCUGAGAAUGCACCUAUCACGUGUUGCCGCAGCUGGCUCCCCUGUUUGGUGUCGGGAUAGGGGGCUCCAUCCCCCGACACCAAACAUGGGACCGGGCAGGGGCGGGGCUCCCCCGACACCGCUGGGUGGCAGGCUGCGCGUGCACACACAUACAUAAUCGCGCCGCCAUAUGGCUCCUUAUCUCCUUUCGCUGAUGCACAGCAUCUCAUUGCCUACCUGCCGCAUGCAUCCGAAGUUCCGAACGCCCAUCUACAACCCCAACUGAGCCGCCACGCCGCCACAGAAAGCCACCAAGCCACUGCACCGUACCAUCCAUCCGUACACCUGGCCACUGACUGGCCAAAAUGACAUCCAACUGCUUCCGCCAAGCUGCUUAACUCCUUCAACGCUUACGGCGCCGCUCCUUAAAGUAGCAGGGGUAGCAGAGGCCCUGAACAUACUUGCGGCAGUUGCGGAUGCCACAGUGCCGGCACUCGCCGUUGGGCCAGGUCAGGUCAGGUCGCGAGCGCGGGUCAGGUUGCGGAACUAGGUACCUAGCACCGACCGCGGUCUUGUAGUCCUUGUGAUGAGAGGACAGGUUGUACCCGUCCCAGGGCCUCCCGAGGUUGACGCGCGCGCAGUGGGCGCGCAGGGGAUUCGCAGAGGUUGAGGCCCCACCGCGGCGUGUCGCCGUGGCGACCAGGCUGUUCUGAAUGAUGGUGUUCGCCUCGAUGAACCGCCGCUCCGCAGCAGACCGGGCGCUGGCGGCGGCACGGUGGUCCAGCGGCAGAGCCGCGCGGGCUAAGGGCGACAACAGGUCGCACUUGAUUGUGCCCGUUUUCUCAUACUGCGAGGCACCGCCACUGUAGUAGGACAGUCGGUAAAAGACACAUCUAGAUGCCCCAGGGCGCCGUCCGCAGGGUUAUAUACUUGUGUGUCGUAGAACUUCCGUGUUCCGCCCACAGCCACGGAUUAGGCGGUUCAGCAGGCGGUUUGUCGGACAGUCCCUGUGGCCGCCGCGCGGACCGUUGCCGCCGCGAUAGACUACACCACCAGCAACGGGAAUUGCUUCUAUCAUCUGUGUUUGGUGUCUAAAAUGUAUUUGAAUAUGCAGGCGAAUGGGCAAGAAAUUGAGGGAUGACACGCCCCCUCCAUCCGGCACUUUCUGUGCCUAUGCCUGCCCCUACUGACAGCCAACCCCCCACACGCGGGCAGACACAGAAAGUUUCCAGGGCGGGGUGGCAGGCACCCUGGACGUCCUGACAGGCGCAGGCGCAUGACCAAGCAGCCUCGACGCGCGUGUUCAGCCGCAGUCCAGGCGAGUGGCGGCACGCGGCGGUUGACCCUGCCUUCUCAGCAGACGAACCGGGUCGGGCCUUUGGCUGCUGUUCGCACUGCGCAGUCCAGAACUAGACUCGGGCAGGUGAUGCAUAAACUUUGUUUGCCUUCAUGACGCCCAGCCUGGUUUCAAUACAAUUCUUGCGUCUUAACUCGCCUGACUCGCCUUUGCGGCGACAUGGACGAAGGGGGCCAGAACCGACCAAGUGGGAAAUAAGCGCUUACGGAUCCUUUCCAACUCUAGUCCCGUCCGGCCCGACGGCUUUCUGGACUGGUAAGGUAAGCUUGGAAUUAAGAAAGUGCGUGUUAGCAUGCAUGUUUCAGCAGCGAAAAACAGCUCCAACCGGUGGCAGUCGGGCAAAACCGCGCUCGAGCGAGCACUGAAAACCUUGCCGUCCACACCAGCCGAUAACUCGGAAUCAAUUGUCAAUGGCAUUCUUUGGUGUUUGAGCGCCUGCCUGGGGGCACUUUUGCUCGAGUUGAAGUCCAACUGCCCCCGGAUCCGCAAGUUACAGGAGCGAGGCCUUCUAAGGCGCGCCCCAUCGCGCAGUAAUUGCGGUCUGCGAUAGCUCCUUGGCAUAGGUUGCCCGCCCGCAAGCACGUUGAGGGUACGCGGCAGCAGCGCAACACAGCGACAUCGCUUCGUUUCCUUGCGCGUUCUCUACGCAUGCGCGUUCCCUUGGCAGCAGUAUCAUCAAUGAGGCGUAUUCAGCUUUCACCAUGAGUCCGUCAACAACUACACUGGUCCUGCUGCUGCUGGUCGCGGCGAGAAUUUCGUCAUCUGGCGCCGCACCAGCAGGAGAAGCGGCCUGGGAGCACGACGUUAGCCGCAGCGACGCAACCAGCACACUACAAAGCUGGUCAAACGUAGCCAACAGGUUGGAUGCGAGGUAGCCCUGUAUAUGUUUGCGAGGGUAGCGGGGCGGGUGCGGCGCGUGCGUCCAGUGCCGCCCGAUGGCUCGGUGGCCAAUUUCCAACUGGUCUGUGGGUAUAAAUUACCAGUUACACAGCGACUCCAUACGUCCGUUCGUAAGGGACUUCACAUGUGAACCGCCGUCCGUCCCAGCUAGCGAUAAGUGGCCAUUCCGCAGCGCAUUCGCAAGGCUUUGGCACUGUGCGCGCACCUGGCGCGCGAUCGACAUCACAACGCUAUCAAAAUGCCUGCUAACAAAGGGCCCGUGUUUAGCGAAUUCCGCGGGGCAGCGCCAAUCAACCGCCGGCCACGGUUUCUCGGCCACGCACACUCCCGCCAAAUUAUCGCCAGCCACAUCUGGCCAAUUUACAUGCCACGUACUUAGUAUCGAUUCGCUUGCUUGCAGGUGCUUGUCGCUUAACACGUAUGCAGAUAGCUGCGACACGCGCACAGACGGCAGCGUGUAUUGCAAGACUUGCCUAACCUGGCGGCAUGAAGCUGGUGAAGCCGGGUGUCAGCGGGCCCUCGCGCGCGUUCUUCACGUCUGCGCCGCGGACCGCCUGAUGCAGUGGUACUCUGGGCCAGGGAAACGGUCCGUGGGUGGCAGCACGGAUGUGCACGUGCUACCCUGGGCGCAUGGGAAGACAGGUAAGCGAUAGGGCUGCGCAGAUAGAGCGGAGCUUCUGUGGCUCGCAUGUGUGAGGGGCGCGGCCCGGCGGUGGCCGGUGGGAGACAUGACGUCCUGUCAGGGCGACAUGAGUUACAUGGUCAGCUACGGCAGGACACUUCCCCCGCUGACGCGGAGCCUUUCCCUAAUACAGAGGUCUGCCAGUGGGCCAGGUGGAACACUUCCGAGCAAGACACGCGCGUCGUGUUCACCAUGCUGAGUAAGGGACUUGACUGCGCAGAAGGUACGUGCGUGUGCAGCUCUCUAUGUUUAGUUGUCUUGCAGUUGUGGAUGUGUGGCUGCACCCGAUCAUGCGCUUAUUUAUUACGCCUUGCUUGUCAAGCUGUCACCCCAUUGGGGCGGCGUGCGUGCCGACGGACACACGCAUGCUGCUGAGCAGAGGGCACCUGCACUCAGCUGCACUGUUUCCCUCCCAUCCACAUUCGAGCCGUGCACCCCUUCCCACCACUCGCAAGCGCAUACCCGCUCGCCUGCUGCAUGCUGCAGAUGCCACUCCCAUCAGCGUUGACGGCGCCACGUUCGCAGCCUGUGGCCGGAGUGCCCGUGGCUGCCGCAAGUCGGGCGCAGCGCCCGGCGAGGUCUCCAUUACGCUGGGCGUGCGCCGCACGACAGGAGUCACGCCACUGCCGCUGCCCGCCACCGGCAACGGCGCAACCGAUGUGGCGGCCGAUGCCGCGGUGUUGCCAGCGCACGCACGUUCGCUCCUGUGGUAUCAGACCCAGCCCUGCACUAGCUCUGUCCUGUACAACAGCUCUGGCAGCCCUGUUACUUUCAUCGACGGCCCCGUGUAUGCGGGCGCUGACAAGCAGUUGGUCGGCACUGCGACGCUGUACCCGAAUACGCCGCCUGGGUUCCUCACUUUCACGCUGGCGCGGAUCUACAACAGCGACGUGUCCAACUCAUACUUUUGGGACAACAGCGACUUGCUGUGGCGGCUGUACCCCGACCUUGGGUCCCUGAACAACGCUAUUGAUGUGGGUGUAGUGGGUGGGUGCGCACCCUGCGCGGCGGGUGGUGGGGGCGGUUGGGGGCGGUUGGGUUCCCAGCAGGGUCCUUACUCCAGGGCAGUAGGGUGAUUGCGCUCCGUGUGACCCUGCCUUGGGGGACAGGGCACACCUCACCUGCACGCGUGCCAGGCAGGGCGCGUCGUGCGAUGGGGGGCGGGACUGCCGUACUGCGGGUGGAGUGACGGAUGACGCGCCCCGCCUAGCAGGUGCUACACCACACCACACCCUUUCCACACCCAUCACCACUUGGCCAUUGCCCGUGCCCCCCCACCCACCCGCGCACACAUCCCACCACGUGCCCGGCCUUUGCGUCAUCUACUCAUCGCCGGUGGCGCCGAACCCACCCCACCUUAUGCGUGGACGCCUCUCCCUUGCCUUUUCCACUGCUGGCUGUCGAUGCCAUCCCUUCCCCGCCUUCACCCAUCCUGUACGACAGGGCCCCGCUUGUUCGCGCCCUAACCAGCUGGGAAGAAACUUCAACCAUGUCUCCAUGGACGGCAACAUCGGCAUCAUUAGUUUCGUCAUUCCAAACUCCAACUUGUCUCUCACAGAAGGCAGCUGCGACCGCAAGCGCUUUUUCAUCAUGAUCAAGGCCGGCGUUGCGGUGGGUCGCGGGAGACGGAGAUAGCGUUGCUCGCCCCUGCUCCCACCCCAUCCGGUCGCGUCCACCAGUGCCACUGCAUGUCCUGCUCACCAUUCCUGCCCGUGCCAGCCCUCACCAGUUGCCGUUCGCCUCCUCUUUGCGGGCUCUUUGUACUCCCAUCCCGCUCUUCACAGCACCAUCGCUCGCCGCACCCCAUCUCUCUUACACCGGCCAACAUUUGCCUGCACCCGUGUCGACAGGGCGAGACCGCGUUUCUAUCCUGGAGGUACAUGACCAAGAACAUCAACGAGUUCCCCGAGCUGUGCACAUCGGUGUCAAACUCCUGGUUUGGCCUGGGCGACUUCUACGUGGGUUGUCAGCCAUGCGCGACCCCGCCCUCCCCGCCGCUGCCUCCUAGGCCGCCGAGCCCAUCGCCGCCCAGCCCAUCGCCACCCUCCCCUUCGCCAACCACAGUAUCGAGCCCGUCGCCGCCCAGCCCCGCGCCACCCAUCCCCGCGCCGCCCAGCCCUCGCCCGCCUAGCCCUGCGCCGCCCAGCCCGCGCCCGCCUAGCCCUGCGCCUCCCAGCCCUGCGCCUCCCAGCCCUGCGCCGCCCAGCCCGCGCCCGCCUAGCCCUGCCCCUCCCAGCCCCGCCCCACCCAGCCCUUCGCCGGCCAGCCCAUCUCCGCCCAGCCCGGCGCCGACCAGCACUCUGCCCCCAAGCCCAGCUCCGCCCAGCCCCGCACCCAGGCCGCCAGAGCCCCCGUGUGCCCCUUGCCCUGACACCGCCCUUUACGCCAACGCGACAAGUAGCAAAGUGUCCUUUAUCACCGGCCCCGUGUAUGCGGGCGCAGACAAGCAGCUUGUCGGCAUUGCGACACUGUACGUAAACACGCCGGUCGCCGGAUCCCUCACAGUCACGCUGGUGCGGACUUCCAACAACGGCUUCAACUCGCCCUUCUGGUCCACGGAUGAUGCGCUGUGGCAGCUUUACACCGACACUGGGUCACUCGGCUCCGCCAUUGAUGUGGGUGCGCCUUGGGGUGCGGAACGUGCGCGGCGGGUGUCGGGGACGUUUGAACUCGGUUGGCACAUGGUGCGUGUGUCUGCCCAUGAUACUUACUAUCUCAAAGCUAGCCGCCUACGCAACUUUCUGUGCUUGUGCCUGGUCCUCACCGGUUUUUGUCUGAGUACCCAAGCAAAUAUGCCAUGAACUUUUCCGUACGCUGCCGUAAAACUGUCGACGAAACCCCUUACACGCCUGGCCACAUGUAUGGUAGCGAGAUUCCCUCUGCGUAGUCCUUUGUCAGAGGGUUCACGACCUGCCCGACAACUAUUAGGCAGAGCGCAUCAUGGUAUAUGUGUGGCAUGUAUGGUAGGUAUACCGUAUGUGUGGACACAGCAGGCAGCCUAGUUCACCGCAUCCGCAUCAGCCUCCUAGCCCUGCACCUCCUUCGCCUGCGCCGUUUCGUGGGCGGCACCACAGGAAAUUCCGUGGGCGGCUGGCCGAUUUACUUGCCAGCUGGUCGGUGCAUGUGAAGUGCCGGAUCAGUCCGUUUGGGACUCCGCACGCAAGUCCGUGAGGAAUGCCCAUCAGCAGCAAACUUCCAGCCCGCCAGCAACUUGUCCGUACAGUAAUUCCGGCAUUCGACCAGCCGCGCACGACUGCCCUGCCGCUGCAAAUUGUUUGCCAUCUGUUGGGGUCUGGGCGUCAGCUGCACCCUACGGGAUCUCGCCAACCUGUCCUAUCGCACACGCAAGUCCGCACGGGUACGGCCAGUGCUUUCGCAUUCUAGCUCUGGCCACCCAGACCCCACCUGCAUCCUACUCACAUUAUCUCGUGCGUACACGUUCGACUGACGUUGUUAUUGGUUUCUUACUGGUGACGCUCGCAGGCCCCCGGCUGUUCCCGGCCCAACCAGCUGGGCAGGGACUUCAACCACGUCCCGUUAAAUGGCAAUGUCGGGCUCUUCAGUUUCGUCAUUCCAUACACCAGCUUGGGCCUGACGCCUGAAAGCUGCGAGCGCAAGCGCUUUUUCAUCAUCGUCAAAUCCGGCGUCGAGGUGAGUCGCGCGGGGCAGGGUAAGAUCAUGGCAAGGGCAGGAGGAUGAUCGGGGCCGGUGAGGUCAGGUACUGAAACACUGGCGCACGGGAGUAUAACAACGGAUCCGGCACACAUGCGACAGCCAGAAUACCGCAAUCCUCACUUUCGUUUACAUUUUGUAGCACAACUGGUGCACUUUCGCUGCAACAUAUUUUCCGUCUUCACCAACAUUGGGCUUCCAAGACCCUAGGAUUCCUGCCUUAUCCCACAAUCAUACUGCAUCGACAGGGCGACACUGCGUUUCUAUCCUGGAGGUACAUGACCAAGAACAUUAACGAGUUCCCCGAGCUGUGCACAUCGGUGUCAAACUCCUGGUUCGGCCUUGGCGACUUCUAUUUGUCAUGUAAACCUUGCACUCCACCAUCUCCGCCCUCACCACCGUCAACAGUCGCCUUGAGCCCGCCAUCGCCCGCACCGCCGAGUCCGCUUCCACCCAGUCCAGCGCCGCCUUCCCCUACGCCUCCUAGCCCUGCCCCGCCGUCGCCUGCGCCUCCCUCGCCCGCUCCGCCCACCCCGAAGCCGCCGAGCCCGGCGCCUCCAAGCCCUGCUCCUCCCUCUCCCAAGCCUCCCAGCCCCGCACCCCCGACACCGACCCUGCGCCCGCCCAGCCCAGCGCCUCCGUCGCCCGCGCCUCCUUCGCCUGCGCCACCUACCCCGGCCCCGCCCAGCCCCGCGCCGCCUUCGCCUGCGCCUCCGUCGCCCGCGCCUCCCAGCCCCGCUCCCCCGACCCCGACCCUGCGCCCGCCCAGCCCGGCGCCUCCGUCGCCCGCGCCUCCGUCGCCUGCUCCUCCGUCACCAACGCCUCCCAGCCCUGCGCCGCCGUCGCCUGCGCCUCCCUCGCCCGCUCCUCCUUCACCUGCCCCGCCCAGCCCCGCGCCGCCCCCGCCAUGCGACGAUUGCCCGUCGCUGUUCAUCUCUGAGUUCCACUAUGACCAGAACCCCAGGGGCGGCAACAGCGACAAGCGGGAGUGGAUUGAGAUUAUUGUGCCUGCCGGCUUCGACUGGAGGCAAGACCUGUGGCUGGCGCAGUACACGUUCAACGGCAACCCGCAGACCGCCAGCGGCAGCCUGCACGGCAACGUGUUCCCGUUCACGUCACCCCAGAUCACCGUCAUUAGCGAGACUCGGCUGCAGACGCCCAACUUCGACUGGACGGCGCUGGUGAUUGACCUGCAGGGCAACCUGCAGAACAGCAAUGGCGGCUGGGACGGCUUUGCGCUGCUGACCAAGUGCACGGACGGCGUGCGCUGGUCGGUGGCGGACUUCAUCUGCUACGGCGCCAACUCGCAGGGCUUCAACAGCAUCGCCGCGAACGGCCCCGCGGCCGGCUACAGCUGCACCAACGUUGGCGCCGGCGUGAUUGAGAACAACAACACGCCUCAGGGCACCUCCAUCCAGCGUCUCAACACCGGCGACUGGAGCACCGUGGCCACGUGGAACUGGCAGGCCAACCUACCGCAGACCUGGGGCAGCCUGUUCAACCCCAGCAUCGCCCUGGGCACCAUCCCGCAAGUUGAGGCUUGCGGCGUGCCUCCCGCCGCGAAGCCUCCCUCGCCCGCUCCUCCCAGCCCUGCCCCGCCGUCACCUGCGCCUCCAAGCCCUGCUCCUCCCUCUCCCAAGCCUCCCAGCCCCGCGCCCCCGACCCCGACCCUGAGCCCGCCCAGCCCCGCGCCUCCGUCGCCCGCGCCUCCUUCGCCUGCUCCUCCGUCACCAACGCCUCCCAGCCCUGUGCCGCCGUCUCCUGCGCCUCCCUCGCCCGCUCCUCCUUCACCUGCCCCGCCCAGCCCCGCGCCGCCACCGCCAUGCGACGAUUGCCCGUCGCUGUUCAUCUCUGAGUUCCACUAUGACCAGGACCCCAGGGGCGGCAACAGCGACAAGCGGGAGUGGAUUGAGAUCAUCGUGCCUGCCGGCUUCGACUGGAGGCAAGACCUGUGGCUGGCGCAGUACACGUUCAAUGGCAACCCGCAGACCGCCAGCGGCAGCCUGCACGGCAACGUGUUCCCGUUCACGUCACCCCAGAUCACCGUCAUUAGCGAGACUCGGCUGCAGACGCCCAACUUCGACUGGACGGCGCUGGUGAUUGACCUGCAGGGCAACCUGCAGAACAGCAAUGGCGGCUGGGACGGCUUUGCGCUGCUGACCAAGUGCACGGACGGCGUGCGCUGGUCUGUGGCGGACUUCAUCUGCUACGGCGCCAACUCGCAGGGCUUCAACAGCAUCGCCGCGAACGGCCCCGCGGCCGGCUACAGCUGCACCAACGUUGGCGCCGGCGUGAUUGAGAACAACAACACGCCUCAGGGCACCUCCAUCCAGCGUCUCACCACCGGCGACUGGACCACCGUGGCCACGUGGAACUGGCAGGCCAACCUACCGCAGACCUGGGGCAGCCUGUUCAACCCCAGCGUGCCCCUGGGCGACAUCCCGCAGGUUGAGGCCUGCGGCGUGCCGCCCGCCGCAAAGCCUCCCUCGCCCGCUCCUCCCAGUCCGGUUCCUCCUAGCCCUGCCCCGCCGUCGCCUGCGCCUCCCUCGCCCGCUCCGCCCACCCCGAAGCCGCCGAGCCCGGCGCCUCCAAGCCCUGCUCCUCCCUCUCCCAAGCCUCCCAGCCCCGCACCCCCGACACCGACCCUGCGCCCGCCCAGCCCAGCGCCUCCGUCGCCCGCGCCUCCUUCGCCUGCGCCACCUACCCCGGCCCCGCCCAGCCCCGCGCCGCCUUCGCCUGCGCCUCCGUCGCCCGCGCCUCCCAGCCCCGCUCCCCCGACCCCGACCCUGCGCCCGCCCAGCCCGGCGCCUCCGUCGCCCGCGCCUCCGUCGCCCGCGCCUCCGUCACCAACGCCUCCCAGCCCUGCGCCGCCGUCGCCUGCGCCUCCCUCGCCCGCUCCUCCUUCACCUGCCCCGCCCAGCCCCGCGCCGCCCCCGCCAUGCGACGAUUGCCCGUCGCUGUUCAUCUCUGAGUUCCACUAUGACCAGAACCCCAGGGGCGGCAACAGCGACAAGCGGGAGUGGAUUGAGAUCAUUGUGCCUGCCGGCUUCGACUGGAGGCAAGACCUGUGGCUGGCGCAGUACACGUUCAACGGCAACCCGCAGACCGCCAGCGGCAGCCUGCACGGCAACGUGUUCCCGUUCACGUCACCCCAGAUCACCGUCAUUAGCGAGACUCGGCUGCAGACGCCCAACUUCGACUGGACGGCGCUGGUGAUUGACCUGCAGGGCAACCUGCAGAACAGCAAUGGCGGCUGGGACGGCUUUGCGCUGCUGACCAAGUGCACGGACGGCGUGCGCUGGUCUGUGGCGGACUUCAUCUGCUACGGCGCCAACUCGCAGGGCUUCAACAGCAUCGCCGCGAACGGCCCCGCGGCCGGCCACAGCUGCACCAACGUUGGCGCCGGCGUGAUUGAGAACAACAACACGCCUCAGGGCACCUCCAUCCAGCGUCUCAACAUCGGCGACUGGAGCACCGUGGCCACGUGGAACUGGCAGGCCAACCUACCGCAGACCUGGGGCAGCCUGUUCAACCCCAGCGUGCCCCUGGGCGACAUCCCGCAGGUUGAGGCCUGCGGCGUGCCGCCCGCCGCGAAGCCUCCCUCGCCCGCUCCUCCCAGUCCGGUCCCUCCUAGCCCUGCCCCGCCGUCGCCUGCGCCUCCCUCGCCCGCUCCUCCCAGCCCGGAGCCGCCCAGCCCGGCGCCUCCCAGCCCUGCUCCUCCCUCCCCCGAGCCUCCCAGCCCCGCGCCCCCGACCCCUGAGCUGAGCCCGCCCAGCCCGGAGCCUCCGUCGCCCGCGCCUCCUUCGCCUGCGCCUCCUAGCCCGGCGCCGCCCAGCCCGGAGCCGCCCAGCCCUGCUCCUCCUAGCCCGGCCCCGCCGUCGCCAGCGCCGCCGUCGCCUGCGCCUCCCUCGCCCGCUCCUCCCAGCCCGGAGCCGCCCAGCCCGGCGCCUCCCAGCCCUGCUCCUCCCUCCCCCGAGCCGCCCAGCCCCGCGCCCCCGACCCCUGAGCUGAGCCCGCCCAGCCCGGAGCCUCCGUCGCCCGCGCCUCCUUCGCCUGCGCCUCCUAGCCCGGCGCCGCCCAGCCCGGAGCCGCCCAGCCCUGCUCCUCCUAGCCCGGCCCCGCCGUCGCCAGCGCCGCCGUCGCCUGCGCCUCCCUCGCCCGCUCCUCCCAGCCCGGAGCCGCCCAGCCCGGCGCCUCCCAGCCCUGCUCCUCCCUCCCCCGAGCCGCCCAGCCCCGCGCCCCCGACCCCUGAGCUGAGCCCGCCCAGCCCGGAGCCUCCGUCGCCCGCGCCUCCUUCGCCUGCGCCUCCUAGCCCGGCGCCGCCCAGCCCGGAGCCGCCCAGCCCUGCUCCUCCUAGCCCGGCCCCGCCGUCGCCAGCGCCGCCGUCGCCUGCGCCUCCCUCGCCCGCUCCUCCCAGCCCGGAGCCGCCCAGCCCGGCGCCUCCCAGCCCUGCUCCUCCCUCCCCCGAGCCGCCCAGCCCCGCGCCCCCGACCCCUGAGCUGAGCCCGCCCAGCCCGGAGCCUCCGUCGCCCGCGCCUCCUUCGCCUGCGCCUCCUAGCCCGGCGCCGCCCAGCCCGGAGCCGCCCAGCCCUGCUCCUCCUAGCCCGGCCCCGCCGUCGCCAGCGCCGCCGUCGCCUGCGCCUCCCUCGCCUGCUCCUCCUAGCCCUGCCCCGCCGUCGCCUGCGCCUCCCAGCCCUGCUCCUCCCUCCCCCGAGC